This 253-nucleotide ribosomal RNA is filed under the name uncultured bacterium. RNAcentral's name for it is "partial 16S ribosomal RNA". It matches the Rfam family "Bacterial small subunit ribosomal RNA", at positions 524 to 776 of the family's 1533-position model. The record is from RNAcentral.
UACAGAGGGGGCAAGCGUUGUCCGGACUGACUGGGCGUAAAGCGCACGCAGGCGGUUGUGGGCGUCGGGGCUGAAAGUCCACUGCUUAACAGUGGAACGCGUGCCGAUACGCCAUAACUGGAGCAAUGCAGAGGCCAGUGGAAUUGCCGGUGUAGUGGUGAAAUGCGCAGAUAUCAGGAGGAACACCGGUGGCGAAGGCGGGUCUCUGGGCAACAACUGACGCUGAGGAGCGAAAGCGUGGGGAGCGAACAGG